ACGAAGGGGGCUAGCGUUGCUCGGAAUCACUGGGCGUAAAGCGCACGUAGGCGGAUUCCUAAGUCGGGGGUGAAAUCCUGGAGCUCAACUCCAGAACUGCCUUCGAUACUGGGAAUCUUGAGUCCGGAAGAGGUGAGUGGAACUGCGAGUGUAGAGGUGAAAUUCGUAGAUAUUCGCAAGAACACCAGUGGCGAAGGCGGCUAACUGGUCCGGAUCUGACGCUGAGGCGCGAAAGCGUGGGGAGCAAACAGGA
Molecule: ribosomal RNA, 253 nt
Filed under: uncultured prokaryote
Description: partial 16S ribosomal RNA
Rfam family: Bacterial small subunit ribosomal RNA
Source: RNAcentral